AUACGGAGGGUGCAAGCGUUAUCCGGAAUCAUUGGGUUUAAAGGGUCCGUAGGCGGAUAAUUAAGUCAGGGGUGAAAUCCCACAGCUCAACUGUGGCACUGCCUUUGAUACUGGUUAUCUUGAGUUAUAGGGAAGUAGAUAGAAUAUGUAGUGUAGCGGUGAAAUGCAUAGAUAUUACAUAGAAUACCGAUUGCGAAGGCAGUCUACUAUCUGUAUACUGACGCUAAGGGACGAAAGCGUGGGGAGCGAACAGGAUUAGAAACCCGAGUAGUCC
This 274-nucleotide ribosomal RNA is filed under the name uncultured bacterium. Its description in RNAcentral is "partial 16S ribosomal RNA". It matches the Rfam family "Bacterial small subunit ribosomal RNA", at positions 523 to 796 of the family's 1533-position model. The record is from RNAcentral.